UGAGCAUCUUUUUCCUCUUUUCUUUCCCCUUUGGAGUCUCUAGAGGAAGAAAGAGAGCCUAGAGCUUUCUCAGUUUAAACACUGGUGGGGGAAGUCAGCGACUCAAAGUUAGUAUUGCACCUGUUCCUAAAGCAGAGGUUGUGGGGGCAGCUCACGGGGCAGAAAUGGCAGGUCGGGAGGUAGUGGUGGCAGUGGGCACACAGGAGGAGGUGUAGGUCUGAGGGGAAAAUGCAGGGGAAGAAGAGACGAGCUGAAGGACCAUCUCCCAGCUUCUGUGGUGGCCCCACCUUCCUCUGUGCUCAGCCAGAGGCUGAAAUGAGCCUGUUAUGGUGACGUCACUGCCCGCUUGAGUCCCUCCCAUGGGCAGUCUGGGUCCUUCCAUGCUCUUUGAGGCCCUCUUUACGUCAUCCCCCUGCCUCAGAACCUGUGUUCAUUGGUGUCUCCAUCUUCCUUUCAGAUGACCCCCUCCAUCCCAGGAAUGUGCUCAAAUGUCACCUUCAGCUGUUAAAAAUCCAUUCCCAAGGGGAGAAGAAAGCUAUGUCUGCCCCUUCUCCUGAGGUCCCAAUGAUUUGACUCCACCAAAGUUCACUCUGGGAACCAAUGAAUUUAUUGGGAUUACUUCCAGAGCAUAGCUUCACAGAUGGAGUCCCCUGUAACAGGACCUUAGACCAUAGCACAACUGACUCCAUGAUGGAAGAACCAUUCAGGCUGUGAAACUCAGUCUCAAGGACAAGCUGAGGUACAAUUCCAUUGAGGUUCACUUUGGGGAAGCAGUAAGUUUAUAGUGUUUCCUUACAGAGCAGCGGAGAUCAUGGGUGUGAGCAGGAGUGGCCUUAAAGCAGCCGCACUGGAAAGUCUGCACCCAGAACGGAUAACAACUCCCUCCUGGUGCAAGACCCGGAUAAAUCCAGGCCCCUCUAGCAGAAAGAAUAGAGCCAAAAAUCUAGCAGGAAGAGUAGAGCCAAAAAUCUAGCAGGGAGAGAAGAACAAA
Molecule: non-coding RNA, 991 nt
Organism: Myodes glareolus (Bank vole)
Lineage: Eukaryota; Metazoa; Chordata; Mammalia; Rodentia; Cricetidae
Source: RefSeq, a predicted model, not a curated record